This 253-nucleotide ribosomal RNA is filed under the name uncultured bacterium. Its description in RNAcentral is "partial 16S ribosomal RNA". It matches the Rfam family "Bacterial small subunit ribosomal RNA", at positions 524 to 776 of the family's 1533-position model. The record is from RNAcentral.
UACGUAGGCAGCGAGCGUUGUUCGGAAUUACUGGGCGUAAAGAGUGUGUAGGCGGUGCUCUAAGUUCGGUGUGAAAUCUCCCGGCUUAACUGGGAGGGUGCGCCGGAAACUGGAGUGCUCGAGCGUGGGAGAGGAAAGCGGAAUUCCUGGUGUAGCGGUGAAAUGCGUAGAGAUCGGGAGGAACACCAGUGGCGAAGGCGGCCUUCUGGACCAAUACUGACGCUCAUGCACGAAAGCGUGGGGAGCAAACAGG